Molecule: ribosomal RNA, 258 nt
Filed under: uncultured bacterium
Lineage: Bacteria
Description: partial 16S ribosomal RNA
Source: RNAcentral
GACGAACGCUGGCGGCGUGCUUAAUACAUGCAAGUCAACUGAACUUGAGGUAGCAAUAUUUCAAGGGAGGUGGCGCACGGGUGAGUAACACGUAGGUAAUCUGCCUUUAGGUCUGACACAACCCGACCGAAAGUAACGGGUCGGGUACUUAAUUACUACGAAGUAUAGUAGUCGACGACGGGCCGGUCCGUACCGAACUACGUACGGAACGAACGUUAGGUUUUAAACCGUUUUAAACCCGGGUUCCGGGGUAACCGU